AGUGGGCUCGAAUUUGUUCGUUAUCGAUUUGAAAUCGAUUAAUUUUAUGUUAAGACAUAAGGCUCAUUU
Molecule: transfer RNA, 69 nt
Filed under: Holostephanus sp. FJ-2023
Lineage: Eukaryota; Metazoa; Platyhelminthes; Trematoda; Diplostomida; Cyathocotylidae
Description: tRNA-Ser
Source: RNAcentral